This 464-nucleotide ribosomal RNA is filed under the name uncultured bacterium. RNAcentral's name for it is "partial 16S ribosomal RNA". It matches the Rfam family "Bacterial small subunit ribosomal RNA", at positions 29 to 507 of the family's 1533-position model. The record is from RNAcentral.
ACGAACGCUGGCGGCGUGCUUAACACAUGCAAGUCGAACGGAAAGGCCCUGCUUGCAGGGUACUCGAGUGGCGAACGGGUGAGUAACACGUGGGUGAUCUGCCCUGCACUUCGGGAUAAGCCUGGGAAACUGGGUCUAAUACCGGAUAGGAGCCAUUUUUAGUGUGAUGGUUGGAAAGUUUUUUCGGUGUAGGAUGAGCUCGCGGCCUAUCAGCUUGUUGGUGGGGUAAUGGCCUACCAAGGCGGCGACGGGUAGCCGGCCUGAGAGGGUGGACGGCCACAUUGGUACUGAGAUACGGCCCAGACUCCUACGGGAGGCAGCAGUGGGGAAUAUUGCACAAUGGGCGCAAGCCUGAUGCAGCGACGCCGCGUGGGGGAUGACGGCCUUCGGGUUGUAAACUCCUUUCGCUAGGGACGAAGCUUUUUGUGACGGUACCUAGAUAAGAAGCACCGGCUAACUACGUG